Molecule: long non-coding RNA, 824 nt
Organism: Nerophis ophidion (straightnose pipefish)
Lineage: Eukaryota; Metazoa; Chordata; Actinopteri; Syngnathiformes; Syngnathidae
Exons: 4
Source: RefSeq, a predicted model, not a curated record
CAAGAUGGCGUCCCCGCGUCUCGUCAGCGCCAGUAGACAGUAGCGCUCCAUGCUGCCUCCCCUUCCAACAUGUCUAUGAGUGCGAGGCACACGUCCUGGUUAGGGAGGGAAAAGUCUCGUUUACUCAGUUCUAUGACAAACCGUCGUCAAGGUGGGAGUGUGGUCACGUCAGAGAAGGACGACAGCCAGCCUGCUGACAUCUCCCCGCUCUCCUCAUCCUCUCACGCUGCACUCGCUGGUUUUGUGGGAGAAAAUACAAGUGGGACUGAACCAAAUUGGACAAAACCACCUUGCUGAGGGGAGAGGACUGACCUGCUCCUUCUAAAGGAAGCUGUGAGACGGAACAAACAUCCCAUUUGAAAUGUCAGGGAAUCAAACCUUUGGCGUCCGGGUUGUGAGCCAUCAUGUCAUCCACGGAAAGCUUCAUCUCGAUGCUGCCUGUGAUGAUGAUGACUCCAUGCUGGCCUGCAUCAAGGUACAACUCUGCUGUCUCCCCACCUGCAUGCGUGUCACCUAGGUGGGAGUGGUGGUCUGCAUGCAGUCUGAAGGUGAGGGAAGACCAUGACUAAGACUCUCAUGACUAAAGUCGAUCAUCAUUCAUUCACAUCAAUAAUUAACACUAACGACUACUUUGCAGUUAAAACCAUUACAAUCAUCUUCAGUGCAGCUGUAUUAAACAUACAUACUAAAUAAAUCAUCUGAAGGAAAAAAAACAUUUGUAAAUACUUUUAAUAAAAACUUUGAAAAAAAAUAUAAUAAUACAAUUUAAAUAAUAAUUUAUGUGAAUUGUAAAUGAAAUCACAAAUAUUUUAAUUGAAUGUCAU